Long non-coding RNA from Prinia subflava (tawny-flanked prinia), 612 nucleotides. RefSeq lists it as uncharacterized. NCBI's taxonomy places the organism in Eukaryota, Metazoa, Chordata, Aves, Passeriformes, Cisticolidae. The record is from RefSeq and is a predicted model, not a curated record. The transcript has 2 exons.
CGCUCUUUUAUUUUUCUAGGUAGUUUGUGAUUCUUGCUGUCUCUUACUUCAAACAACAUCUAUUUCCAAAACUAGCAUUCCUGAAGCACUUUGUUUAUAAAACUGAUCCAUCUAUAGUCAAUAUGGACAAAAUGUUUGUGUUCUGUGUUUCCAGUUGGGUACCCUGUUUAUACAAACUAGGAGAAAGAGCAGUGUGAGGAUAUUUACCAAUUUAAGGUUUCAUAUUAGCUACACCUAUUGGAGUUUAUCUCAAUGAAAAGAUACAAUAACAACUUGUGCCUGAAAAUGACAUUGCAGACUUCACUAUGUGGGGGAAGUACUUCAUGCAGGUAGGAUCUUGUAUGACAAAUUAUUCCCUUCUUGUGAAAAUAACACUUAGUCUUGGUUGUUUGGUUUUCAGCUCAGUUCUGGAGGUGUGCUGGUAAAGCUGCUCUUUUACCGGAGGAGCUGUCUUAAUUGUUCCUGAGUGCUGGUAGAUCAUGAUGGUUUUCAUCUUGGAAAAAAGAGCAAAGUUUCUUUAGACAGCUCUGGCUUUUAUGUUUUAUUUCUUGUGUUUGUUUAUUGAAUAGCAGUUCUCAUAAUUAUGGAUAAUAAAACACCUUCAAAUCUACA